AGAAGUUAAAAAAUUGUUUCUUAAUUUUUAACUAAAAAAGUUAAGAACUGGUUCUUAAAUAAGGACUUUAAUAACCGUUUUUUAGUUUUUUUUAGUUAAAAGUUAAGAAACAGUUUCUUAACUUCC
Molecule: microRNA precursor, 126 nt
Filed under: Brassica oleracea var. oleracea
Lineage: Eukaryota; Viridiplantae; Streptophyta; Magnoliopsida; Brassicales; Brassicaceae
Description: MIR9563 microRNA precursor family
Rfam family: MIR9563 microRNA precursor family
Source: Rfam by way of RNAcentral